This 253-nucleotide ribosomal RNA is filed under the name uncultured bacterium. RNAcentral describes it as "partial 16S ribosomal RNA". It matches the Rfam family "Bacterial small subunit ribosomal RNA", at positions 524 to 776 of the family's 1533-position model. The record is from RNAcentral.
UACAGAGGUGGCAAGCGUUGUUCGGAAUUACUGGGCGUAAAGGGCGCGUAGGCGGUCCGAUAAGUCCCGUGUGAAAUCCCUCGGCUCAACUGAGGAACCGCACGGGAAACUGCCGGGCUUGAGUUCGGGAGAGGGAAGCGGAAUUCCGGGUGUAGCGGUGAAAUGCGUAGAUAUCUGGAGGAACACCGGUGGCGAAGGCGGCGUUCUGGACUGCAACUGACACUGAUGAACGAAAGCCAGGGGAGCAAACGGG